Aquila chrysaetos chrysaetos is the source of this 1061-nucleotide long non-coding RNA. RefSeq lists it as uncharacterized. The transcript has 2 exons. Lineage: Eukaryota; Metazoa; Chordata; Aves; Accipitriformes; Accipitridae. The record is from RefSeq and is a predicted model, not a curated record.
UCCUGGAAAGAGCCCGAGCAUGUUCUUUAGGUGUGCUUAGGUUAAACCCAGAGACUGCAAAACGGUUAAAAGCCUGGCCUAAGCCCCUGGAAGAGCUGAGGCAUCUCAGUAGCACUAACCAGAGACCAGGAUGCCACGGUAGGACAGAAAACUGAAGUCAAACUCCCUGUCAGAAAUUAUUUCCAUAGUCACAACAGCAGAAAAUACCUCACGAGCCCCCGUGGAGCCCGAGCAUGUGUUUGAUGGUGCAGUCGUGGACCCAGGUGGAGACCCCCAACAAACAGCCUGAGCCCUAGCUGUACCUUUCCAUGCACGCAAGGGGGUGAAAUGCAAAGCCGCUUCUCCCCCCUAGGUCCCUUGUUCAGCCCUGGCUUGCAGACAGAAGAGCGAGGCCGGGGGAAGCCAAGCUGCUCCCAGCAGGAAGGCCAACAUCGAUGAGUCCAUCACCUGGGCGGCAGCUGCUCCCAGCCAGCCAAGGGGUUGAUGAGUGUGGAUCGGCAUGGGCAGCACAGGAAUGCGAGGCAAGCCGUGCCACGCAAGUGCGUGGCUGGUGACCCCUCUCAUGGGUAUCAAGGACAUGGGGAAAUGCAGGGAGAGGUCCGCGGGAAGGUGAUGCUGCUUGGAAAGAUGCCACAUCCUGCUUAGGCACCUGCUCACAAUCAAGCGUACCCCUAUACAAAUACUAGAAGGUUGAAAAUAAAAAAUAUCUCUGAGGAUGGAGAUCCCACAGCCUCCCCAAAUCCCUGCUCCCAUUGUGCCAUUCAUUCAGCCAGAGUAUGGCAGUGGCUGGGACACACCAGAGAAGAUUUAAUGUUCAUCAGGGAUAGAAAACAACACAGGAAAACUUCCAUUACCCUGCUGUAGGCUGGGUGAUCAUCAUUUAGGAGCAAAACACCAAAAUGACAUCUCUGAUCACCAAAAUCAAUGACCCCAGGGAGCAACUGCUCCGAGUGCCCAGCUGGAUGCCCUGCUCCCCACCCCGGCUGCUCAAGAGCAUCCUGCAAAAACCACAACUGUCCCACAGUCGCUGGCGGGGGCAACACAAUUCACUUUAGUAAAAA